GUUCUGUUUUGAAACUAAUAAUUCAGAUUUCAGACAUAAACACAAGAAGAAUGCUUGUAAAGUUGAAACAUGAAAGCCUAAAUCAGCACCGACGCACAAUGAGAAAAGUCCUAAUGAUGAGCUAAUCACAGAUUUGCCUUUCUUUGUUGAUAGCUAAUCUAACGGUCAGAAUUGCAUCAAUGCCAGUCUAAUUCCUAGCUUUUCA
This 205-nucleotide unclassified non-coding RNA is filed under the name Hevea brasiliensis (rubber tree). Lineage: Eukaryota; Viridiplantae; Streptophyta; Magnoliopsida; Malpighiales; Euphorbiaceae. The record is from RNAcentral.